Molecule: unclassified non-coding RNA, 249 nt
Filed under: uncultured fungus
Lineage: Eukaryota; Fungi
Description: partial contains 5.8S ribosomal RNA, internal transcribed spacer 2, and large subunit ribosomal RNA
Source: RNAcentral
AACGCACAUUGCGCCCCCUGGCAUUCCGGGGGGCAUGCCUGUCCGAGCGUCAUUUCUGCCCUCAAGCCCGGCUUGUGUGUUGGGCGUGGUCCCUCCGGGGACCUGCCCGAAAGGCAGCGGCGACGUCCGUCUGGUCCUCGAGCGUAUGGGGCUCUGUCACUCGCUCGGGAAGGACCUGCGGGGGUUGGUCACCACCACACGAUACCACGGUUGACCUCGGAUCAGGUAGGAGUUACCCGCUGAACUUAA